CCCUUAGAUGUUCUGGGCUGCACGCGCGCUACACUGACACGAUCAACGAGUUUGUCCUUUCCCGAUAGGGCUGGGUAAUCUUUUCAAAUCGUGUCGUGAUGGGGAUAGAUUAUUGCAAUUAUUAAUCUUAAACGAGGAAUUCCUAGUAAGUGCAAGUCAUCAGCUUGCGCUGAUUACGUCCCUGCCCUUUGUACACACCGCCCGUCGCUCCUACCGAUCGAAGAGUUAGGUGAAUUGUUUUGAUCGAUAAGAUUUGACUAUGGUCAACUCUCGUUGUGAAAUUCUGUGAAUCUGACUGUUUAGAGGAAGGAAAAGUCGUAACA
This 323-nucleotide ribosomal RNA is filed under the name uncultured eukaryote. RNAcentral describes it as "partial 18S ribosomal RNA". It matches the Rfam family "Eukaryotic small subunit ribosomal RNA", at positions 1470 to 1796 of the family's 1831-position model. The record is from RNAcentral.